AUGGCUGAACCCAACUCGUACGAGGAGCAGCGCAGGAGGCAGGUGGAGGAGAACAAGCGGAAGCUGGAGGAGCUGCGCCUGCACCGCCUCUCCGCCGCCGUCCGCGACGCCGCCGUCAAGCCCAUGCCGAACAAGGAGCUGAAGCUGCGGUAUCUUCGCCCGCCGCCGGCCCCGACCCGGCGGUCCGGCCGCGUCGCCAGUCUCCCCAAGCAACCAGAUUACCGCGACAAGAAAUCCCCGAGGGGAUUACCACCUGAUCGUGUGUACGCGACCGACGAAGCUAGAGACGACGCCUUCACCAAGGCCAAAGAGCUCAAGAACCAGCUGUGCUCUGACCACCCCUCUUUCAUCAAGCCCAUGACCCGUAGUUAUGCCACGGGUUGCUUGCUGACCAUCCCGCGGCAAUUCAAGAAGACUUAUCUAUCAUGGUUUGAUGAGAUGAUCUUUCUGGUGGAUGAAGAGGAUGGGGAGUUUCCCGUGCGUUACCUUGCCAAACGUAAUGCCAUCGGCGCUGGGUGGGCCUUGUUCGCCAUCGCUCACAAGCUGGCUGAUGGUGAUUGCUUGGUGUUUCAGCUAGUUCAGAGGACAAAGUUCAAGAUGCAGGUCUACAUUAUUAGAGCAAGUUCCUACUACGAAAAGGACAAUUGUUGA
This 651-nucleotide ribosomal RNA is filed under the name Triticum aestivum (bread wheat). RNAcentral's name for it is "partial small subunit ribosomal RNA". The record is from RNAcentral. Lineage: Eukaryota; Viridiplantae; Streptophyta; Magnoliopsida; Poales; Poaceae.